Molecule: small RNA, 811 nt
Filed under: Pongo abelii (Sumatran orangutan)
Lineage: Eukaryota; Metazoa; Chordata; Mammalia; Primates; Hominidae
Description: processed transcript
Source: RNAcentral
AUGCAGAUGGGUUCUCUACCUAGCCUGUGCCUUGUUGCCUGUUCCUUUACUGUACAUGUGAUGACAGAAAAGAAGAUAGAGCCUCCAUGUUGAACAUGCCUGAUAAAACUCUGCAAAGAAAGUGUCUAGCACUUAUAUCUCCAGUAACUCCUGUCAAGGUUUGUUGUUGCUUGUUCAUCUUUGCAGUCCUGACUACAAGUGUGAUUGCACUUUCUAUUGUUCUGUCAGCAAGAAAGGAAAAGCCAGUGGUAGAGUCGUCUAAGUAUGCUGCUUGCCCAAAAAGCUGGAUUAGAUUUAGGAGUAAAUGUUUUUAUUUUUCUGAAGGCAUAAGAAAUUGGACAUUGAGUCAAACCUUCUGUGUCUCAUUAGAAGCCAGCCUUGCUCAGUUUGCAACUAUGGAGGAACUGAAUUUCCUGAAAAGAUACAAAGGCCCUUCUGACCAUUGGAUUGGCCUUAGAAGAGAAUCAUCCCAUCACAUUUGGGAAUGGACAGACAACAUGGAAUAUAAUAACACGCUUGCUAUCAGAGGAGGUGGAGAAUGUGCCUUCCUGAAUGACAAUGGAGUAAACAGUGACAGAAUCUACAUAAACAGAAAAUGGAUUUGUAGCAAGCCAAACAGUUAUGUCUACAGUUGCCAGUUAUGUCCCCACUGAGAUACUACCUAGUAGAGCUGUGAGAAGAGGGCCACCAUCCUCCAGACUCCAGAAUGGUAGACUCAUCAGCAGCUUCCACCAUGCCCCUGGAAAAACUGCAAGUAACAGACCUGCACAUGGAUCCCCUAAAUCUAAAAUAAAAGUUGGAAAAAAUGGAA